GAUUAACGCUAGCGGCAGGCCUAAUACAUGCAAGUCGAGGGGCAGCAGGGUGUAGCAAUACAUCGCUGGCGACCGGCGCACGGGUGCGUAACACGUAUGCAACCUACCUUUAACUGGGGAACUAGCCCUCCGAAAGGAGGAUUAACACCGCAUAACAUCACGAGACGGCAUCGCCUUGUGAUCAAACCUCCGGGGGUUAAAGAUGGGCAUGCGUCCGAUUAGCUAGUUGGCGGGGUAACGGCCCACCAAGGCGACGAUCGGUAGGGGGUCUGAGAGGAUGAUCCCCCACACUGGUACUGAGACACGGCCCAGACUCCUACGGGAGGCAGCAGUGGGGAAUCUUAGACAAUGGGCGCAAGCCUGAUCUAGCCAUGCCGCGUGAGCGAUGAAGGCCUUAGGGUUUAAAGCUCUUUCAGUGGGGAAGAUAAUGACUGUACCCACAGAAGAAGCCCCGG
Molecule: ribosomal RNA, 455 nt
Filed under: uncultured bacterium
Lineage: Bacteria
Description: bacterial SSU rRNA
Rfam family: Bacterial small subunit ribosomal RNA
Source: RNAcentral